RNAcentral lists this ribosomal RNA (409 nucleotides) under Psiloderces sp. 190 FL-2018. RNAcentral describes it as "partial 16S ribosomal RNA". The record is from RNAcentral. Lineage: Eukaryota; Metazoa; Arthropoda; Arachnida; Araneae; Ochyroceratidae.
CCUGCUCAAUGUAAAAAUAAAUAGCCGCAAUCUCUGCGCUAAGGUAGCAUAAUCACUUGUCUUUUAAUUGAAGAAUAGAAUGAAGGAAAAACGAAUUAUUAACUUUCUAUAAAUUAUACAAUAAAAUUAUAUUAAUUGUAAAAAUUCAAUUAAUAAAAUAAAAGACGACAAGACCCUAAUGAACUUAACUAAUAAGUUAAGCUGGGGUGGCUAAAUAAAUCAUAACUUAUUAUAAAAAAACAAAAAAUCUUUCUAAAUAAAUAUAACAAGUUACCAUAGGGAUAACAGCACAAUAUAUUACCAAAGUUCAAAUAAAAUAUUAAAAUUGUGACCUCGAUGUUGAAUUAUUUAAACUCAUUUUAAGCAAAAAUAAAUAAAGUAGGUCUGUUCGACCUUUAAAAAAAUACAU